AAUGGGGCGAAGCUACC
Molecule: non-coding RNA, 17 nt
Filed under: Mus musculus (house mouse)
Lineage: Eukaryota; Metazoa; Chordata; Mammalia; Rodentia; Muridae
Source: RNAcentral